AGUGAACGCUGGCGGUAGGCCUAACACAUGCAAGUCGAACGGCAGCACAGGAGAGCUUGCUCUCUAGGUGGCGAGUGGCGGACGGGUGAGGAAUACAUCGGAAUCUGCCCAGUCGUGGGGGAUAACGUAGGGAAACUUACGCUAAUACCGCAUACGACCUUCGGGUGAAAGAGGGGGAUCGCAAGACCUCUCGCGAUUGGAUGAGCCGAUGUCGGAUUAGCUAGUUAGCGGGGUAAUGGCCCACCAAGGCGACGAUCCGUAGCUGGUCUGAGAGGAUGAUCAGCCACACUGGAACUGAGACACGGUCCAGACUCCUACGGGAGGCAGCAGUGGGGAAUAUUGGACAAUGGGCGCAAGCCUGAUCCAGCCAUACCGCGUGGGUGAAGAAGGCCUGCGGGUUGUAAAGCCCUUUUGUUGGGAAAGAAAUCUUUCAGGCUAAUACCCUGGGAGGAUGACGGUACCCAAAGAAUAAGCACCGGCUAACUUCGU
This 489-nucleotide ribosomal RNA is filed under the name uncultured bacterium. Its description in RNAcentral is "partial 16S ribosomal RNA". It matches the Rfam family "Bacterial small subunit ribosomal RNA", at positions 29 to 506 of the family's 1533-position model. The record is from RNAcentral.